This 484-nucleotide ribosomal RNA is filed under the name uncultured bacterium. RNAcentral describes it as "partial 16S ribosomal RNA". It matches the Rfam family "Bacterial small subunit ribosomal RNA", at positions 28 to 507 of the family's 1533-position model. The record is from RNAcentral.
AUUGAACGCUGGCGGCAUGCUUUACACAUGCAAGUCGAACGGCAGCGCGGGCUUCGGCCUGGCGGCGAGUGGCGAACGGGGGAGGAAUGCAUCGGAACGUGCCCAGGAGUGGGGGAUAGCCCGGCGAAAGGCGGAUUAAUACCGCAUACGACCUGAGGGUGAAAGCGGGGGAGCGAAAGGCCUCGCGCUAUUGGAGCGGCCGAUGUCGGAUUAGCUAGUUGGUGGGGCAAAGGCUUACCAAGGCGACGAUCCGUAGCUGGUCUGAGAGGACGACCAGCCACACUGGGACUGAGACACGGCCCAGACUCCUACGGGAGGCAGCAGUGGGGAAUUUUGGACAAUGGGGGCAACCCUGAUCCAGCCAUGCCGCGUGCGGGAAGAAGGCCUUCGGGUUGUAAACCGCUUUUGUUCGGGAAGAAAUCCUCUGGGCUAAUACCCCGGGGGGAUGACGGUACCGGAAGAAUAAGCACCGGCUAACUACGUG